AAAAUAUGCAACCAGUGAUCAGUUGAAUUGAUACCUUUUCAUCUACCAGAAGAUUUAAGGAGGUUAUUGCUUGGAAAACUGUUCGAGCUCCCGGGCUGGCAUGCACUGCAGGUACAGUGAAAUCAAUUAUGCAGGUUCUUGAAGAAAGUCGUGGAUGACAACAAUGUAUGAUUUACCAGACCAAGGGAUCCCAAUGUUUUUUGAUGGCUCCAGCUACUCAGCUUACUGUGAGAGAGUUAACACCUUAUUGACAUAUCUUUCAU
Molecule: long non-coding RNA, 263 nt
Organism: Saccostrea echinata
Lineage: Eukaryota; Metazoa; Mollusca; Bivalvia; Ostreida; Ostreidae
Exons: 3
Source: RefSeq, a predicted model, not a curated record